UGAAUACGAGACGCUAAGGCGUCGAAGUAGUGUAUGUCAUACUUCCAAGAAAAGCUUGCACUGUCAUAGAUAAAAAACGCCUGUACCAUAACCGACACAGGUGGGUAGGUAGAGUAUACUAAGGGGCGCGAGAUAACUCUCUCUAAGGAACUCGGCAAAAUAACUCCGUAACUUCGGGAGAAGGAGUGCCUUAUUAUUAAGGCUGCAAUAACAAGAUCCAAGCAACUGUUUAUCAAAAACACAGGUCUCCGCUAAGUCGUAAGACGAUGUAUGGGGGCUGACGCCUGCCCAGUGCCAGAAGGUUAAAGAAGUUGGUUAGCAUUUGCGAAGCUGAUAACUGAAGCCCUGGUGAACGGCGGCCGUAACAAUAACGGUCCUAAGGUAGCGAAAUUCCUCUCGGGUAAGUUCCGACCCGCACGAAAGGCGUAAUGAUUUGGAUACUGUCUCGGAGAGGGGCUCGGUGAAAUAGACUUGUCUGUGAAGAUGCGGACUACCUGCACCAGGACAGAAAGACCCUAUGAAGCUUUACUGUAACUUGAAAUUGAAAUUGGACUUUAUUCGCGCAGCAUAGGUGGGAGGCGUUGAUUAUAAUCUUGUGGGAUUAUUGGAGCCAUCAGUGAGAUACCACUCUUGUAAUGUUAGAUUUCUAACUUUGAAUCAUUAUCUGGUCAAAGAACAGUUUCAGGCGGGCAGUUUGACUGGGGCGGUCGCCUCCUAAACGGUAACGGAGGCGUACAAAGGUUUCCUCUGAACGGUUAGAAAUCGUAUCUAGAGUGUAAAGGCAUAAGGAAGCUUGACUGUGAGACCUACAAGUCGAGCAGGGACGAAAGUCGGUCUUAGUGAUCUGACGGUACUGAGUGGAAAGGCCGUCACUCAACGGAUAAAAGUUACUCUAGGAUAACAGGCUGAUCUCCCCCAAGAGUUCACAUCGACGGGGAGGUUUGGCACCUCGAUGUCGGCUCAUCGCAUCCUGGGGCGGUAGUACGUCCCAAGGGUUGGGCUGUUCGCCCAUGAAAGCGGUACGCGAGCUGGGUUCAGAACGUCGUGAGACAGUUCGGUCCAUAUCCGGUGUAGGCGUUAGAAUAUUGAGAGGAGCCUUCUUUAGUACGAGAGGACCGAGAAGGACAUACCUCUGGUGUACCAGUUAUCGUGCCAACGGUAAACGCUGGGUAGCUAUGUAUGGAGUGGAUAACCGCUGAAAGCAUCUAAGUGGGAAGCCCACCUCAAGAUAAGUAUUCUCAUCAA
Molecule: ribosomal RNA, 1245 nt
Filed under: metagenome
Description: bacterial LSU rRNA
Rfam family: Bacterial large subunit ribosomal RNA
Source: RNAcentral